This 439-nucleotide ribosomal RNA is filed under the name uncultured bacterium. Its description in RNAcentral is "partial 16S ribosomal RNA". It matches the Rfam family "Bacterial small subunit ribosomal RNA", at positions 339 to 795 of the family's 1533-position model. The record is from RNAcentral.
CCACGGGCGGCUGCAGCAGGGAAUAUUGCACAAUGGACGGAAGUCUGAUGCAGCGACGCCGCGUGGAUGAUGAAGGCCCUCGGGUUGUAAAAUCCUUUUCAGGGGGACGAGGAAGGACGGUACCCUUGGAAUAAGCGUCGGCUAACUACGUGCCAGCAGCCGCGGUAAGACGUAGGACGCAAGCGUUAUCCGGAUUUACUGGGCGUAAAGCGUCUGUAGGCGGAAUGGUAAGUUGGACGUGAAAGCUCCGGGCUCAACCCGGAGAGGUCGUUCAAUACUGCCAAACUAGAGGGCAUCAGAGGAGCGUGGAAUUUCCGGUGUAGCGGUAAAAUGCGCAGAUAUCGGAAGGAACACCAAUGGCGAAGGCAGCGCUCUGGGAUGAACCUGACGCUAAGAGACGAAAGCUAGGGGGCGAACAGGAUUAGAUACCCUAGUAGUC